This 75-nucleotide transfer RNA is filed under the name Schistocerca americana (American grasshopper). Its description in RNAcentral is "tRNA-Thr". It matches the Rfam family "tRNA". From Rfam's summary of the family: Transfer RNA (tRNA) molecules are approximately 80 nucleotides in length. Their secondary structure includes four short double-helical elements and three loops (D, anti-codon, and T loops). Further hydrogen bonds mediate the characteristic L-shaped molecular structure. tRNAs have two regions of fundamental functional importance: the anti-codon, which is responsible for specific mRNA codon recognition, and the 3' end, to which the tRNAs corresponding amino acid is attached (by aminoacyl-tRNA synthetases). tRNAs cope with the degeneracy of the genetic code in two manners: having more than one tRNA (with a specific anti-codon) for a particular amino acid; and 'wobble' base-pairing, i.e. permitting non-standard base-pairing at the 3rd anti-codon position. The record is from RNAcentral. Lineage: Eukaryota; Metazoa; Arthropoda; Insecta; Orthoptera; Acrididae.
GCCUUCGGUGGCUCAGACGGAUAGAGCGUCUGCCAUGUAAGCAGGAGAUCCUGGGUUCGAGUCCCAGUCGGGGCA